CCUACGGGACGCAGCAGUGAGGAAUAUUGGUCAAUGGACGCAAGUCUGAACCAGCCAUGCCGCGUGCAGGAAGACGGCUCUAUGAGUUGUAAACUGCGUUUGUACGAGGGUAAACGCAGAUACGCGUAUCUGUCUGAAAGUAUCGUACGAAUAAGGAUCGGCUAACUCCGUGCCAGCAGCCGCGGUAAUACGGAGGAUGCGAGCGUUAUCCGGAUUUAUUGGGUUUAAAGGGUGCGUAGGCGGUCCGGAAAGUCAGCGGUAAAAGCCCGGGGCUCAACCCCGGCGAGCCGUUGAAACUGUCGGAC
This 305-nucleotide ribosomal RNA is filed under the name uncultured bacterium. RNAcentral describes it as "bacterial SSU rRNA". It matches the Rfam family "Bacterial small subunit ribosomal RNA", at positions 338 to 641 of the family's 1533-position model. The record is from RNAcentral.